CCGGCUGCUCGCACACGCAGGAAACGUCACUAGGGUAAUUUAAAGAGGAGAGAAGGAUCAUCAAUCAUUGCCUAGUGGAUUAUUGGCGAAUCGUCCUUAAGAGCAACUCCAACGGGUCGACCUAAACGGACAACGAUUUCGUUCACUUUUUAUCCGUUUGGGUCGACCAGGCGGGCACGAACGUUCGCUUCCGUAAAUAGGUCGGUUCGUGC
RNAcentral lists this long non-coding RNA (212 nucleotides) under Hordeum vulgare. RNAcentral's name for it is "long non-coding RNA (HVUL_LNC004739)". Lineage: Eukaryota; Viridiplantae; Streptophyta; Magnoliopsida; Poales; Poaceae. The record is from RNAcentral.